Molecule: ribosomal RNA, 1485 nt
Filed under: metagenome
Description: bacterial SSU rRNA
Rfam family: Bacterial small subunit ribosomal RNA
Source: RNAcentral
AGAGUUUGAUCAUGGCUCAGGAUGAACGCUGGCGGCGUGCUUAACACAUGCAAGUCGAACGGGAAUGUUUCGCUGAUGCGAUUUCGGUCAAAUCUUGAAGCAUUUUAGUGGCGGACGGGUGAGUAACGCGUGGGUAACCUGCCCUGUACAGGGGGACAACAGUUGGAAACGACUGCUAAUACCGCAUAAGCGCACAGCUUCGCAUGAAGCAGUGUGAAAAACUCCGGUGGUACAGGGUGGACCCGCGUCUGAUUAGAUAGUUGGUGAGGUAACGGCCCACCAAGUCAACGAUCAGUAGCCGGCCUGAGAGGGCGAACGGCCACAUUGGGACUGAGACACGGCCCAAACUCCUACGGGAGGCAGCAGUGGGGAAUAUCGCACAAUGGGGGAAACCCUGAUGCAGCGACGCCGCGUGGAGGAAGAAGGUCUUCGGAUUGUAAACUCCUGUUGUUGAGGAAGAUAAUGACGGUACUCAACAAGGAAGUGACGGCUAACUACGUGCCAGCAGCCGCGGUAAAACGUAGGUCACAAGCGUUGUCCGGAAUUACUGGGUGUAAAGGGAGCGCAGGCGGGCGAUCAAGUUGGAAGUGAAAUCCAUGGGCUCAACCCAUGAACUGCUUUCAAAACUGAUUGUCUUGAGUAGUGCAGAGGUAGGCGGAAUUCCCGGUGUAGCGGUGGAAUGCGUAGAUAUCGGGAGGAACACCAGUGGCGAAGGCGGCCUACUGGGCACCAACUGACGCUGAGGCUCGAAAGUGUGGGUAGCAAACAGGAUUAGAUACCCUGGUAGUCCACACCGUAAACGAUGAUUACUAGGUGUUGGAGGAUUGACCCCUUCAGUGCCGCAGUUAACACAAUAAGUAAUCCACCUAGGGGAGUACGACCGCAAGGUUGAAACUCAAAGGAAUUGACGGGGGCCCGCACAAGCAGUGGAGUAUGUGGUUUAAUUCGACGCAACGCGAAGAACCUUACCAAGCCUUGACAUCCUGCGACGAUGCUAGAAAUAGUAUUUUCCUUCGGGACGCAGAGACAGGUGGUGCAUGGUUGUCGUCAGCUCGUGUCGUGAGAUGUUGGGUUAAGUCCCGCAACGAGCGCAACCCUUAUGGUCAGUUACUACGCAAGAGGACUCUGGCCAGACUGCCGUUGACAAAACGGAGGAAGGUGGGGAUGACGUCAAAUCAUCAUGCCCUUUAUGACUUGGGCUACACACGUACUACAAUGGCGUUAAACAAAGAGAAGCAAGACCGCGAGGUGGAGCAAAACUCAGAAACAACGUCCCAGUUCGGACUGCAGGCUGCAACUCGCCUGCACGAAGUCGGAAUUGCUAGUAAUCGUGGAUCAGCAUGCCACGGUGAAUACGUUCCCGGGCCUUGUACACACCGCCCGUCACACCAUGAGAGCCGGGGGGACCCGAAGUCGGUAGUCUAACCGCAAGGAGGACGCCGCCGAAGGUAAAACUGGUGAUUGGGGUGAAGUCGUAACAAGGUA